GAGUUUGAUCGUGGCUCAGAACGAACGCUGGCGGCAUGCCUAACACAUGCAAGUCGAACGAGACCUUCGGGUCUAGUGGCGCACGGGUGCGUAACGCGUGGGAACCUGCCUUUAGGUUCGGAAUAACUCCCCGAAAGGGGUGCUAAUACCGAAUAAUGUCUUCGGACCAAAGAUUUAUCGCCUUUAGAUGGGCCCGCGUUGGAUUAGCUAGUUGGUGGGGUAAAGGCCUACCAAGGCGACGAUCCAUAGCUGGUCUUAGAGGAUGAUCAGCCACACUGGGACUGAGACACGGCCCAGACUCCUACGGGAGGCAGCAGUGGGGAAUAUUGGACAAUGGGCGAAAGCCUGAUCCAGCAAUGCCGCGUGAGUGAUGAAGGCCUUAGGGUUGUAAAGACUCUUUUACCUAGGGAUGAUAAUGACAGUACCUGGAGAAUAAGCUCCGGCUAACUCCGUG
Molecule: ribosomal RNA, 454 nt
Filed under: uncultured Alphaproteobacteria bacterium
Lineage: Bacteria; Pseudomonadati; Pseudomonadota; Alphaproteobacteria
Description: bacterial SSU rRNA
Rfam family: Bacterial small subunit ribosomal RNA
Source: RNAcentral